GUUGAGCCUUGGUAUGGAAACCUACUAAGUGAGAACUUUCAAAUUCAGAGAAACCCUGGAAUUAAAAAUGGGCAAUCCUGAGCCAAAUCCUGUUUUACGAGAAAAUAAACAAAGGUUCGGAAAGAAUUUAAAUAAAAAAGGGAUAGGUGCAGAGACUCAAUGGAAGCUGUUCUAACAAAUGGGGUUUGACUACCUUUGCAUUAGUGAAUCCUUCUAUUGAAACUACAGAAAGGAUGACCUAUACGCAUACCUAAAGGUAAUAAAAAACUAUUAAAAAAAAAAAAGACGACCCAAACCCGUAUUUCUAUAUAUUUCUAUUUUUCAUAAAAAUAUAUAGAAUUUUUUUUUGAAUUAGUAUUGAUUCUAAGUUGAAGAAAGAAUCGAAUACAACAUUCAUUAAUAAAAUAAUUCACCCCAUAGUUUGAGAAAUCUUUUGAACAACUGGUUAAUCGGACGAGAAUAAAGAUAGAGUCCCGUUCUACAUGUCAAUAUCAAUACUGACAACAAUGAAAUUUAUAGUAAGAGGAAAAUCCGUCGACUUUUUAAAUCGUGAGGGUUCAAGUCCCUAGCCGUUGACGCCCU
This 582-nucleotide non-coding RNA is filed under the name Lachnaea filicaulis. RNAcentral's name for it is "partial transfer RNA-Leu(UAA)". The stretch from base 1 to 168 matches the Rfam family "Group I catalytic intron", at positions 16 to 158 of the family's 253-position model. Lineage: Eukaryota; Viridiplantae; Streptophyta; Magnoliopsida; Malvales; Thymelaeaceae. The record is from RNAcentral.